CCGCGUGAAACUCGAGCGCCCCACCCGCGCCUGACCUCCCCGAGCCCCUCCCCGGGUCCCGCCCCUUCCCGGGACAGGACCCCCCCCCUUGCUCCCGGAUGCCCCGCUGCACCUCAGGAGUUCCAUUCCCGCCUCCCCAGUGCGAGUGCGGCCGUGCGGUGACUUUUGGGGGCUCCCUGCCCCGUCUCACAGGGCCCUGCUGCGCCUCCCGCCCUGGGUUCCGACUCAGACGUGGCUGCACCCAGGAGGGGGGCGCCGGCCGAGACUUGAGACGUGGCGCGCCAGAUCUGCUGGCCUCUGCUCCAGGAUCUUUGGGCCUUACUGAGUGCUCGGGUGAAAAGUUUGUAAUCGGGAAGCAAGUAAAGCACCUUUGAAGGCUUGUAUGAUUGGAUACUUUGGUGCACUUCCUCAGCUUCUCCAGAAGGUAGUUGAGCGGGGAGGAAGAGGGUCAGCCUCGCGAAAAGAGCAAAUGUGCCUGAAUUUCAGCCACAUCCCUAAGCUGCCAUCUCAGACUGAGGAACAGGGAGGGGGGCUGGAAAGAACACCACCUGGAAGAAGUCAGGACUUGACUGUGGGCCAUGAGUGACCUUCAAAGGAAAAGCUCGGUAUCUGUGGUCUUUAAGAUGUGAUAAGAUUGUAUUAAAAUUUUAGAAAAACCUCAA
Long non-coding RNA from Saimiri boliviensis boliviensis (Bolivian squirrel monkey), 662 nucleotides. RefSeq lists it as uncharacterized. The record is from RefSeq and is a predicted model, not a curated record. Lineage: Eukaryota; Metazoa; Chordata; Mammalia; Primates; Cebidae.